Long non-coding RNA from Felis catus (domestic cat), 2821 nucleotides. RefSeq lists it as uncharacterized. The record is from RefSeq and is a predicted model, not a curated record. NCBI's taxonomy places the organism in Eukaryota, Metazoa, Chordata, Mammalia, Carnivora, Felidae. The transcript is spliced from 2 exons.
UUUCUCUGAUUGACUUAUUUUGCUUAGCAAAAUAUUUUGCUUAGCUGGCUCCAUCCAUGUCAAUGCAAAUGGUAAGAUUUCAUUCUUGUUGAUUAGCCUAGCCCACCUUAAAUGUGCUCAGAACAGCCUACAGUUGGGUAAAAUCAUCUAAAACAAAGUCUAUUUUAUAAUAAAGUGUUGAAUAUCCUAUGUAAUUUAUUGAAUACUGUACCGAAAGUGAAAAACAAUGGUUGUACGGGUACAGAAUGGUUAUAUCAGUUAUUUACUUUCAUGGUCAUGUGGCUGACGGGGAGCUGUGGCUUGCUGCCACUGCCCAGCAUCACAAGGGAGUGCAGCACCACAUACCCCUAGCCCAGGAAAAGAUUAAAAAUGCAAAAUUUAAAGUAUGGUUUUCUACUGAAUGUGUAUUGGUUUUGCACCAUCAUAACAUCAAAAGUGGUAAGUCAAUCCAUUUUAAAUUGGGGACCUCCUAUCUGUAUGUGAAUAAGUAUAAGCGUAUGCUUAGCUUUACCCUAAAACUAGAGCAUCUACUUCAUGUUACCUUCUUUAAAUUUGUUUACUAUCCAGUCUAGCUGAUCCAGUACACUGCGGAAAGUACCCAUAUGAUCGAGGACUUCUUCUGUUAUAGAAUUCAGGAUCUAUAUCAUAAAAGUGCAAGAGGAAAGAAGCCAUUGAUGACAACAUGAAUGGAAUCUUGCAGCACAGUGGUUCGAAACCUUUCUAGUAAAUCUCUUUUAGAACCCAAACCAAAAAGCACAAUGUUGAACCCCAGGCUGUUAGGAAAGAUAGCAUUCAUGAAAUUAAAGUUCAGUACCUCUUACUUAAUUUUUUAGAAUUAACUAGUUUAAGUUUCUAAAAAAUACAGAAAGAACUAGGAUGACUAAAGAACUACAUUGAUUCUCAACUUAUACAAGGUAAAAGCGCAAUUUUAUUAUUAUCUGUACACCAAACUUACAAGUCCAGCAUCAGUAACUUUCUCUCCAGCUCUUAUUAUCUUUCAGGUGAUGGACGGCUGGAGGCAAGGGAGAACAACAGGAGGCACAAGGCACUAAACAGUUGUACAGGUUGAAGCUGAGUUUUAAUAGAUUAAAUAGGAAAAGUAAGCAGAGGCCAAAUCACAAAGGUCUUGUUAAGUCAACUAAGACAUUAGAUUUUAUUUAAAGGACAAUGACCAUUUAACAGUUAACUAGUCAGGUGUUAACUGAAAGGUUUUAAGUAGGAAAGUAGCAUGAUAUUUUCACCCUGGCUGAAUAGGGCGAAUGCACAGAAGAAGGGGAAAACUGCCAAAGAUGAUGAGCUUGAAUUAGGUGUUAUGGAGAAAAAUAGAAGUUAUCAAGAGCUUUACAUGCCAAAUCAAUAGGAUUUGGAGAGUGAUUAGAUGUAGAAGGUGAGAGAAAGGGAAUAUUUCAAAAUAACUUGGUUUUUUUUGGCCUAGGCAACUAUGUGGAUGAAGUGACUUUCACUGUGCCAGGCUGCAGGGGCAGGUAGCAAUGAGGGGUUUAAGAGGAGUUAAAUUUUAUAUAUACUGAAUUAUUUACAGGACAUCAACAUGGAAACCCUGCAAUAUACACUGAUGUACCUGUAUAUGCUGCUGAGGAGUGAGAUCUGGGCUGGCCUGGAGAAAUCAUGGGAGUUAUUCACAUGCAAAAAGCAACCAAAGCCCAGAGAGUGAAUGAGAAGAAUUAGAACACCAAGCACCUAGGGGUCAAGCUAAAACUCAACUCCAUGAUUGUUUAUAGAAGUCUAUCAGAAACAGUAUUUAUGUGAUGCUCUAUAGCAAUGCAGGGGAGCCUAGGAUAGAAGAAAAACAAUAACCCCCAAAGUAGAGAUAGAUGGUGCAAGGUAGCAGCACCAGAAAAAAAAGUAAGGGAAUUCAGAGAGUCGACAAUUCUGUUAAGUAGCUGAAUGAGGUAUAGGCUGGGAAUCAAAGUCAAACAAGUUAUCAGAGUUGACAUACUGGAAGGAGGAACUGGUGGAUGCUGCGGGAUGGGAUCAGAGUGAAGAGCUACUUUACAAAUUUAUAAUGAACAGAUCUAUAAAAAGUUAUUAGGAGAAGCUGAGGUCCUAGCAAUGAAGAUAGGCAUAACCCUUUGAUGUAUUACUGGCAAAAGAAAGCCAGGAUCAAUUGAGGAAAAUUGUGUCAAUUUCUAGUUUUACUGCUUGGUGGACCUGACUUCUUAUUUAUCCCUAUGACUAUGUAACUGUGAGUAUACAUGUACAAUACCAUACAUUUUAAGCACUUCCUUAUACUAAGAUCCUUUUUAAUAAAAGUGUAAAAGUAAUUAUAGUAAAAAAAAAAAAGUUUUCAUUUUAAUCAUUGUUCUAAUUGUUUUAAUUGGAAUUUGAAAUUUAACCUGAGGUAUCUGAAAAAUGGUAAAAUUCAAAAAAUAUUCAUAGAAAUAAUUUUAAAAUGGUAAAAUGAUAUUUAUAGGACAGAUAAAAACCUGAAGAUCUAUAGCACAUGAAUACAGAAUAAGAUUAAAAUAUAUAUAUAUAUUCUUUUUAGAAACUGUGCUGUGGAAAACUGGGUUAAAAUCUAACUGAGGGGCACCUGCGUGGCUCAGGUGGUUAAGUGUCCGAAUCUUGAUUUCAGUUCAGGUCAUGAUCCCAGGGAUAUGGGACUGAGCCCCACAUGGGGGCUCCACAUGGAACGUGGAGCCUGCUUAAGAUUCUCUCUUUCUCUCUCUAACCCUCCCCUGCGCUCUCUCUUAAAAACAAAGAAAAAAAUCUAAUUGAUAUAUCUUAUCAGUCUUGACAGAUUAGAUUUUUCAAUAUUUUUACAAGUAAUAACAAUUCUAAUAAAGGCUAUUUUACCAAUGGC